GCGGGGGGCCGGGGCGUUAAAAAAAGAGACUAUACAUCACAGACGGAUAUUUAUAAAAGAAAAAGACUGUAAAUUAGUGUCUGAAUUACUUGAAGUAGCUUUUCUUUUUAAUAUACAAUUUUACAUUCUAAUAUAAAUUUAUAGGUCAGGUAUUUGAGUACUACAGAAGACAAAAUAAAUCAGAGUGCAAAAGGAAAAAAGAGAAUUCGAACCAAGAAUAAUAAGAAUUAUUGACAACACCCUGGCUAGAAAAUGCAUGGGAAUGGCGAUGGGAAAAAAUGUAUUCUACCAUUUGAUAGCCCAGAACGAAUAACUUUAAGAAAGUAAGUUAACAUAAUAUCCAUCCUUUAUGCUACAUCAUGUACAUCGGAUUCGAAUUUCACAGAUAUAUAUGCAUAACAUGUUUAAUACUACCGUUAAUGCUAGUGUAUUUAGAUUUGACUUUGUAUUUUUUUUCAACUAGUUUUAUUUAUUUAUUUAGAACAUUUUUUGACAAAGUUUCCUGUUACCAUUUCUACACUCAAUUGUCCUGCUUAACCUACCUAGCUUGGUGAAGUCUAACCAUUAUGUAAAGCAUGCAAUAUGCUUUUUGCCUUGGCUUGUAUCAUGGCAUAGGCUAGGGAAAAUAUUAAAAAAGAGUAUUUUUUCUAACUAUUGUACAAAAAUUUCAUGUGCCAGGACACCAGAAACAAUGUAUUUUUUUUUUUUUUUAGGAGGAUUUAAUAUAUUCUAAAUAUACAUACAUUGAGUACUCAUUUAUUCAUUAUUUUUAUACAGAGUCAGUGAAAUAACGUUUAUGAAGAUAUGCUAAACUGGAUAAAGGAUUUAACAUAAGACGGAUCCAGAAAUAGUGACAAAACAAAGUGUAGCAAAAAACAAAAGGAACACUCUUAUGAAUAAAAACCAUGUUGGAAUACAGAACUAAAAAAUGAAAUGAAUUAUCAAUGCCUUCAUACAGAGCUUGGAUAUUUCUACAUAAACUGUAAUGAUAUUAUGCAAAUGGGAUAAAUGAAUUAUCAUGAAUAGACUUUAUAAUUUUAACUCUAGAUCUGAUUUAGCAACGUAUAGAUACAUAACAGA
This 1080-nucleotide long non-coding RNA is filed under the name Mytilus galloprovincialis (Mediterranean mussel). Lineage: Eukaryota; Metazoa; Mollusca; Bivalvia; Mytilida; Mytilidae. The record is from RNAcentral.